RNAcentral lists this ribosomal RNA (564 nucleotides) under uncultured bacterium. RNAcentral describes it as "partial 16S ribosomal RNA". It matches the Rfam family "Bacterial small subunit ribosomal RNA", at positions 355 to 914 of the family's 1533-position model. The record is from RNAcentral.
UGGGGAAUUUUGGACAAUGGGCGAAAGCCUGAUCCAGCAAUGCCGCGUGUGUGAAGAAGGCCUUCGGGUUGUAAAGCACUUUUGUCCGGAAAGAAAUCCUUGGCUCUAAUACAGUCGGGGGAUGACGGUACCGGAAGAAUAAGCACCGGCUAACUACGUGCCAGCAGCCGCGGUAAUACGUAGGGUGCAAGCGUUAAUCGGAAUUACUGGGCGUAAGCGUGCGCAGGCGGUUUGCUAAGACCGAUGUGAAAUCCCCGGGCUCAACCUGGGAACUGCAUUGGUGACUGGCAGGCUAGAGUAUGGCAGAGGGGGGUAGAAUUCCACGUGUAGCAGUGAAAUGCGUAGAGAUGUGGAGGAAUACCGAUGGCGAAGGCAGCCCCCUGGGCCAAUACUGACGCUCAUGCACGAAAGCGUGGGGAGCAAACAGGAUUAGAUACCCUGGUAGUCCACGCCCUAAACGAUGUCAACUAGUUGUUGGGGAUUCAUUUCCUUAGUAACGUAGCUAACGCGUGAAGUUGACCGCCUGGGGAGUACGGUCGCAAGAUUAAAACUCAAGGAAUUGAC